Molecule: non-coding RNA, 48 nt
Filed under: Trichobilharzia regenti
Lineage: Eukaryota; Metazoa; Platyhelminthes; Trematoda; Strigeidida; Schistosomatidae
Source: RNAcentral
AUCCGGUUGAGGAGUCCUAAAUAGGACGAAGUGUGGCGCAUCCUGGAU